AAGUCCCGUAACGAGCGCAACCCUCGUCUCUAGUUGCUACCAUUUAGUUGGGCACUCUAGAGAAACUGCCGGUGAUAAGCCGGAGGAAGGUGGGGAUGACGUCAAGUCCUCAUGGCCCUUACGCGCUGGGCUACACACGUGCUACAAUGGCGGUGACAGUGAGCAGCGACCCCGCGAGGGUGAGCUAAUCUCCAAAAGCCGUCUCAGUUCGGAUUGUUCUCUGCAACUCGAGAGCAUGAAGGCGGAAUCGCUAGUAAUCGCGGAUCAGCAUGCCGCGGUGAAUACGUUCCCAGGCCUUGUACACACCGCCCGU
This 313-nucleotide ribosomal RNA is filed under the name uncultured soil bacterium. RNAcentral's name for it is "bacterial SSU rRNA". It matches the Rfam family "Bacterial small subunit ribosomal RNA", at positions 1082 to 1397 of the family's 1533-position model. The record is from RNAcentral.